RNAcentral lists this ribosomal RNA (449 nucleotides) under uncultured bacterium. Its description in RNAcentral is "bacterial SSU rRNA". It matches the Rfam family "Bacterial small subunit ribosomal RNA", at positions 28 to 522 of the family's 1533-position model. The record is from RNAcentral.
GAUGAACGCUGGCGGCGUGCCUAAUACAUGCAAGUCGAACGAGGUCUUCGGACCUAGUGGCGAACGGGUGAGUAACACGUUGGUACCUACCCUCUAGUGGGAAUAACUGGCCGAAAGGUCGGCUAAUACCGCAUAAUACCGCAAGGUUAAAGCAGUAAUGCGCUAGAGGAGGGGCCUGCGUCUGAUUAGCUAGUUGGUGGUGUAAUGGACCACCAAGGCGACGAUCAGUAGCNGGAUCGAGAGGUUGACCAGCCACACUGGGACUGAGAUACGGCCCAGGACUCCUACGGGAGGCAGCAGUAAGGAAUCUUCCACAAUGGACGAAAGUCUGAUGGAGCAACGCCGCGUGCAGGAUGACGGUCUUCGGAUUGUAAACUGCUUUUAUACGGGAAGAUUAUGACGGUACCGUAUGAAUAAGCACCGCUAACUACGUGCCAGCCGCCGCAAGU